CUGCCAGUAGUCAUAUGCUUGUCUCAAAGAUUAAGCCAUGCAUGUCUCAGUACAAGCCAAAUUAAGGUGAAACCGCGAAAGGCUCAUUAAAUCAGUUAUGGUUCCUUAGAUCGUACCCACAUUUACUUGGAUAACUGUGGUAAUUCUAGAGCUAAUACAUGCAAACAGAGCUCCGACCGGAGACGGAAGGAGCGCUUUUAUUAGAUCAAAACCAAUCGGUGGCGGUUUCGCCGUCAUCGUACAACUUGGUGAAUCUGAAUAACUUUACGCUGAUCGCACGGUCUCGCACCGGCGACGCAUCUUUCAAAUGUCUGCCUUAUCAACUGUCGAUGGUAGGUUCUGCGCCUACCAUGGUUGUAACGGGUAACGGGGAAUCAGGGUUCGAUUCCGGAGAGGGAGCCUGAGAAACGGCUACCACAUCCAAGGAAGGCAGCAGGCGCGCAAAUUACCCACUCCCGGCACGGGGAGGUAGUGACGAAAAAUAACGAUACGGGACUCAUCCGAGGCCCCGUAAUCGGAAUGAGUACACUCUAAACCCUUUAACGAGGAUCAAUUGGAGGGCAAGUCUGGUGCCAGCAGCCGCGGUAAUUCCAGCUCCAAUAGCGUAUAUUAAAGUUGUUGCGGUUAAAAAGCUCGUAGUCGAAUUUGUGUCCCGCGCCGCCGGUUCAUCGUUCGCGGUGUUAACUGGCGUUUCGCGGGACGUCCUGCCGGUGGGCUUAGCUCGAGAGGGCGGCCCAACUCAAUCCCGCCGCGGUGCUCUUCAUUGAGUGUCGAGGUGGGCCGGCACGUUUACUUUGAACAAAUUAGAGUGCUUAAAGCAGGCUAAAACUUCGCCUGAAUACUGUGUGCAUGGAAUAAUGGAAUAGGACCUCGGUUCUAUUUUGUUGGUUUUCGGAACCCCGAGGUAAUGAUUAAUAGGAACGGAUGGGGGCAUUCGUAUUGCGACGUUAGAGGUGAAAUUCUUGGAUCGUCGCAAGACGGACAGAAGCGAAAGCAUUUGCCAAAAACGCUUUCAUUGAUCAAGAACGAAAGUUAGAGGUUCGAAGGCGAUCAGAUACCGCCCUAGUUCUAACCAUAAACGAUGCCAGCUAGCGAUCCGCCGACGUUCCUCCGAUGACUCGGCGGGCAGCUUCCGGGAAACCAAAGCUUUUGGGUUCCG
Molecule: non-coding RNA, 1159 nt
Filed under: Tribolium castaneum (red flour beetle)
Lineage: Eukaryota; Metazoa; Arthropoda; Insecta; Coleoptera; Tenebrionidae
Description: Eukaryotic small subunit ribosomal RNA
Rfam family: Eukaryotic small subunit ribosomal RNA
Source: Rfam by way of RNAcentral